This 235-nucleotide ribosomal RNA is filed under the name uncultured bacterium. Its description in RNAcentral is "partial 16S ribosomal RNA". It matches the Rfam family "Bacterial small subunit ribosomal RNA", at positions 96 to 334 of the family's 1533-position model. The record is from RNAcentral.
CGGCGGACGGGUGAGUAAUGUCUGGGAAACUGCCCGAUGGAGGGGGAUAACUACUGGAAACGGUAGCUAAUACCGCAUAACGUCGCAAGACCAAAGAGGGGGACCUUAGGGCCUCUUGCCAUCGGAUGUGCCCAGAUGGGAUUAGCUAGUAGGUGGGGUAACGGCUCACCUAGGCGACGAUCCCUAGCUGGUCUGAGAGGAUGACCAGCCACACUGGGACUGAGACACGGCCCAG